Molecule: ribosomal RNA, 437 nt
Filed under: uncultured Anaerofustis sp.
Lineage: Bacteria; Bacillati; Bacillota; Clostridia; Eubacteriales; Eubacteriaceae
Description: bacterial SSU rRNA
Rfam family: Bacterial small subunit ribosomal RNA
Source: RNAcentral
ACGGGAGGCAGCAGUGGGGAAUAUUGUACAAUGGAGGAAACUCUGAUACAGCAACGCCGCGUGAGUGAUGAAGGUUUUAGGAUUGUAAAGCUCUGUCUUUGGGGACGAAGAAAAUGACGGUACCCAAGGAGGAAGCCCCGGCUAACUACGUGCCAGCAGCCGCGGUAAUACGUAGGGGGCAAGCGUUGUCCGGAAUUACUGGGCGUAAAGGGCACGCAGGCGGUCCGGUCAGUCAGGAGUGAAAGUUUGCAGCUUAACUGUAAAAGUGCUUUUGAUACUGCCGGACUUGAGUCUCGGAGAGGUAAGCGGAAUUCCUAGUGUAGUAGUGAAAUGCGUAGAGAUUAGGAAGAACACCGGCGGCGAAGGCGGCUUACUGGACGAGUACUGACGCUCAGGUGCGAAAGCGUGGGGAGCAAACAGGAUUAGAUACCCUGGUA